GACGAACGCUGGCGGCGUGCCUAAUACAUGCAAGUCGAACGAACCGCGACUAGGUGCUUGCACUUGGUCAAGGUGAGUGGCGAACGGGUGAGUAACACGUGGGUAACCUACCUCAUAGUGGGGGAUAACAGUCGGAAACGACUGCUAAUACCGCAUAGGACAUAGGAUCACAUGAUCCAGUGAGGAAAGGUGGCGCAAGCUAUCGCUAAGAGAUGGACCCGCGGUGCAUUAGCUAGUUGGUAGGGUAAAGGCCUACCAAGGCGAUGAUGCAUAGCCGACCUGAGAGGGUGAUCGGCCACAUUGGGACUGAGACACGGCCCAAACUCCUACGGGAGGCAGCAGUAGGGAAUCUUCCGCAAUGGACGCAAGUCUGACGGAGCAACGCCGCGUGAGUGAAGAAGGUCUUCGGAUCGUAAAGCUCUGUUGUCAGAGAAGAACAGCGCAUAGAGUAACUGUUAUGCGUGUGACGGUAGCCAACCAGAAAGCCACGGCUAACUACGUG
Molecule: ribosomal RNA, 502 nt
Filed under: uncultured bacterium
Lineage: Bacteria
Description: partial 16S ribosomal RNA
Rfam family: Bacterial small subunit ribosomal RNA
Source: RNAcentral